Molecule: ribosomal RNA, 282 nt
Filed under: uncultured prokaryote
Description: partial 16S ribosomal RNA
Rfam family: Bacterial small subunit ribosomal RNA
Source: RNAcentral
UACAUAAGGAGCAAGCGUUGUCCGGAAUUAUUGGGCGUAAAGGGUGCGUAGGCGGCCUUUUAAGUCAGAUGUGAAAGACCACGGCUUAACCGUGGGGUUGCAUUUGAAACUGGAGGGCUUGAGUAUCGGAGAGGGUAGUGGAAUUCCCAGUGUAGCGGUGGAAUGCGUAGAUAUUGGGAGGAACACCAGUGGCGAAGGCGACUACCUGGACGAAAACUGACGCUGAGGCACGAAAGCUAGGGGAGCAAACAGGAUUAGAUACCCCCGUAGUCCCUGAGCGGG